GCUUGGGUGGCUCAGCGGUUGAGCAUCUGUCUUUGGCUCAGGGCGUAAUCCUGGCGUUCCAGGAUCAAGUCCUGCCUCGGGCU
This 83-nucleotide transfer RNA is filed under the name Canis lupus familiaris (dog). It matches the Rfam family "tRNA". Rfam says of the family: Transfer RNA (tRNA) molecules are approximately 80 nucleotides in length. Lineage: Eukaryota; Metazoa; Chordata; Mammalia; Carnivora; Canidae. RNAcentral also lists the same sequence under 1 other name. The record is from Rfam by way of RNAcentral.